GGAGAAGUGGCCGAGUGGCUGAAGGCGUGCCCCUGCUAAGGGUAUAUAUCAGAAAUGGUAUCGAGGGUUCGAAUCCCUCCUUCUCCGCCA
This 90-nucleotide transfer RNA is filed under the name Oceanicoccus sagamiensis. RNAcentral describes it as "tRNA-Ser". It matches the Rfam family "tRNA". Rfam says of the family: Transfer RNA (tRNA) molecules are approximately 80 nucleotides in length. Their secondary structure includes four short double-helical elements and three loops (D, anti-codon, and T loops). Lineage: Bacteria; Pseudomonadati; Pseudomonadota; Gammaproteobacteria; Cellvibrionales; Spongiibacteraceae. The record is from RNAcentral. RNAcentral also lists the same sequence under 1 other name.